This 289-nucleotide unclassified non-coding RNA is filed under the name plant metagenome. RNAcentral's name for it is "partial contains small subunit ribosomal RNA, internal transcribed spacer 1, and 5.8S ribosomal RNA". The stretch from base 241 to 289 matches the Rfam family "5.8S ribosomal RNA", at positions 1 to 49 of the family's 154-position model. The record is from RNAcentral.
UUUCCGUAGGUGAACCUGCGGAAGGAUCAUUAAUGAGUUGUCAUGGGGUUCGAUGCUGGCAGCCAAUUUUUGGAUGCAUGUGCUUGCCCUAACAAUCAUCUUCCAAACACCUGUGCACAUUCUUGAGGGAGUCUUGAGUUGGUUGCCGCUCUUGGGUGAUUUUCUCACAUUCCCUUAAAUCAUUAUACGCUAUUAACAAUGUUGAACGUGCUCUGUGCCGCAAGGCUAUUAAUAUAAUACAACUUUUAACAACGGAUCUCUUGGCUCUCGCAUCGACGAAGAACGCAGC